AGUUGUAGAAUCACUGGUGAAUAAGGGGUGGGCAAGUUCUGGUGUCAGCCGCCGCGGUAAAACCAGCACCUCGAGUGGUCAGGAGGUUUAUUGGGCCUAAAGCAUCCGUAGCCGGUUGCAUAAGUUUUCGGUUAAAUCUAUGCGCUUAACGUAUAGGCCGCCGAAAAUACUGUGCAGCUAGGGAGUGGGAGAGGUACACGGUACUCGAUAGGAAGGGGUAAAAUCCUUUGAUCUAUUGAUGACCACCUGUGGCGAAGGCGGUGUACCAGAACACGUUCGACGGUGAGGGAUGAAAGCUGGGGGAGCAAACCGGAUUAGAUACCCGGGUAGUCCCAGCUGUAAACGAUGCAGACUCGGCGAUGCAUUGGCUUGUGGCCAAUGCAGUGCCGCAGGGAAGCCGUUAAGUCUGCCGCCUGGGAAGUACGUACGCAAGUAUGAAACUUAAAGGAAUUGGCGGGGGAGCACCACAAGGGGUGAAGCCUGCGGUUCAAUUGGAGUCAACGCCAGAAAUCUUACCUGGGGAGACAGCAGAAUGAAGGUCAAGCUGAAGACUUUACCAGACACGCUGAGAGGUGGUGCAUGGCCGUCGCCAGCUCGUGCCGUGAGAUGUCCUGUUAAGUCAGGUAACGAGCGAGACCCCUGCGUCUAGUUGCUACCAUUACUCUCUGGAGCAGUGGAGCGAAUUAGACGGACCGCCACAGUUAAUGUGGAGGAAGGAAGGGGCCACGGCAGGUCAGUAUGCCCCGAAACCCUAGGGCUACACGCGGGCUGCAAUGGUAUUGACAAUGUGUUCCGAAUCCGAAAGGAGGAGGCAAUCAUCAAACAAUAUCUCAGUUAUGACUGAGGGC
This 848-nucleotide ribosomal RNA is filed under the name uncultured archaeon. RNAcentral's name for it is "bacterial SSU rRNA". It matches the Rfam family "Archaeal small subunit ribosomal RNA", at positions 415 to 1261 of the family's 1478-position model. The record is from RNAcentral.